RNAcentral lists this long non-coding RNA (497 nucleotides) under Pan troglodytes (chimpanzee). RNAcentral's name for it is "long non-coding RNA NONPTRT015785". The record is from RNAcentral. Lineage: Eukaryota; Metazoa; Chordata; Mammalia; Primates; Hominidae.
AUUGUUAAAAUCAGACUGUGACUCCUGGAACCAGAUACUGGAAGGAUCAUGUUGCAGCCCCACCUGCAGAGUCAAGUCCCUCCUCCCACCUCAGCACUGCUAGAAAAGAGCUUCAGGAUGGAGCCACACAUGCCACUCAAGCCCAAGGGUCAGUCAACAGCCCACAGCCCUAAACUCAUCUGUGUCCAAUGCCAGACCCAGCAACUGCUGAUUUACAUGAAUCAACUCCAUCAUGCAAGCCUCAUGACAUCCCAAUGAGCCACCAUCCUGUGAGGAAGCCCAGAGCACAUGAAGAGACCACCUGCACAUGUUCAGAUCCACUGCCCCAGCUAAGAUCUCCGCUGACAGCCAGACCAAUCACCAAUCUUAGGAGCUGGCGAGCCUUCAGAUGGUCCAACCUUUGAGGCCCCCCAGAGGAGCCAGGUGGAGCAUAGAUGAGCCAUCCAUGUGGAUCCCUCCACCAAAUGGAAGAUUUAGGAGCAAAAUAAACAAUGUUG